Molecule: long non-coding RNA, 1755 nt
Organism: Hemicordylus capensis (graceful crag lizard)
Lineage: Eukaryota; Metazoa; Chordata; Lepidosauria; Squamata; Cordylidae
Exons: 2
Source: RefSeq, a predicted model, not a curated record
CAAUAGGCGUUCUUUGCAGCCAAUGCAGCACUUCGGGAAGAGGCUUGGCCGAGAGAGGAGCUCUGCUUGCGAGUUCCUCUCUCCUUUCAAUUGACUGCGGCGGCGACUGGGCUUUUUUGAGAGGGGGAAUAGGGAAUUCUUUAUUCAGGCAGCUGGGAGGGCGGUGGGCGGCGGCCUUUAUUCGUGCGGGGAAUGGGACGGCGAAGGAGAAAUCGGCCAGCAGGGAGGGCGGGAGGACAGUUGGCGCCGCGGGAAACAUUUGAGAAACUAUCUUCCAUUUGGCCAACAUGGCCACCACUGUCACACAAGCACUUCCAAGUCCCCUGCCAUUCCCUCUCCCUCUCCCUCUCCGCGGACAACCAAUCACAAACCUGGAAAACUCCCCCCCCCCUUACCAGCUAAGGGCGGGAAAAGUGGGUGCAUAAAUAACGGGAGCGCGAGACAGGCUAACAGACUAACGGUCACCGCUAGAGCAGAGCGUAAGGAGAGUAGCAAACGUCGUAUAUUAUUGCCUCCACAUUGACUAAAAAAAUAUAUAUAUAAUUAACUAGAUUAAAUAAAUAAAUAAAUACAAAGGCAGGACACAAAACUCCCUGAGGGGAGUCAGCCGGCUAACCAACAGGGAAGCCCUUUUCUUCUCACAACAGCAGAGACAGUGCCAUCCCUUGCCUAUAGUGGAGAAUUGGAGAAAAUACCACAGAGGGUCAUACAUAAAUAAACUUCAAAGGGGGCACGAAAUAGAACCUAAAAAAAGGAGUGAAAGAGAGAGAGAGGAAAGAAGGAGAGUCCACAUAUAUUGCCCUCAAAGGAGGCAAAAAUCAAAAUCGGGGAAAAAGGGAAAAAAAGAAACAGAGAGAAAAGACAGGAAAGAAGGAGAGUCCACAUAUAUUUGACUUAUAGACACUGCCCUCAAAGGGGGCAAAAAACAAAAUCUGAUAAAAUUUAAAAAGAACAAAAAGACACGUGAAACACUGACUUCGCCUUGGCCAGGAUCCAAGAAAAACAGAUACAAAAGUAUGGGUCAAAAUACAGGGAGCGAGAGUAGGAGAAAACAAUAAGACCAAGAAAACAGAAAGAUGGGAAUUAGAAGAGGUGGAAGAAAGGAAGGAAGAGAAGGAGAGGGAGAAAGCAGACAGGAAGAAAAGAAAACGGAGGAAGAGAGAGAGAAAAGGAAGACAAAGGAAAGACAAAUAUAGAACAAAAUAAAAGGAAAAGAGGGCAAACAAGAGAGGAAAGGAAUAAAGUGAACAACAACAACAGGAAACAAAACAGGCCGAGAGAAUAACAGCCUAACAGUAAAGAAUUGGCACAUAUUGUGCAAAUGGCAUUCUAAGCUGAAGACCCGGUUAUACACAGUGCAAAACAGAUUGGUAACUUUUGUUUAAAUUAGAUUAUAUUUCACACCCCAAAUGAGGCAAUAGAAUGAGGACUUGUAUUUUUUCUGCGACCAAUGAAUGGUGAAAAACUGAAAAUCAGAUGGAAAGAGAAUUAACCAUGAAUUAAGAUGGUUACACUUGCAUAAGUCAUUAAAGCAAAGGCAUCUUAAAAUAGUUAUUGUAAAUAUCACACUCUUGCAGAGGAUAAGAUGGAUGACAUUGCAAUAAAUGUUCCACAAUCACACAGACUAUGUCAAGAAACCAAUUUACUAUGGAUGGAUGGAAUAUAACAAUUGCAUUAUACUGUGCUGUAUGUUUUGAGAAGCCUUUUUAAAAAAACAAAUACAUAAAUGAAUAAAAAUGGUCACUUGAAGUUGAA